Molecule: long non-coding RNA, 1289 nt
Organism: Conger conger (European conger)
Lineage: Eukaryota; Metazoa; Chordata; Actinopteri; Anguilliformes; Congridae
Exons: 3
Source: RefSeq, a predicted model, not a curated record
AGGUUGUCUAGAAGACUGAAGGGAGGGAGGGACGGUGACACAUACGGCAGUCUGCAGCUCGCCAACAUCAGCCCUGAAUAUGACGUGCUGCAGGUUAAAAACAAACACCAGAAAGACACUGUGACUGCACAAGAAGAGGCUGAUGACUACCAGAACACUGGAGAUGGAAACUGAGGCAGACGCAGUGGCUCAUUAAAACUAUAAGCUUGUUGUGUUUCCUUGAAAGCUGGUGUCUUUAAAAGCAUGAUCAAAAAGCAAACAUGAUCAAACGUAAACCUGAACUCUAAAUGGUACAGUUAAACAUUCUUCCUGCAAAUUGUAUUUUCAUUUUUUUAUUGUUUAAAAAUAGUAAAAAGGAAAAGGGGCCUAAAAAUGUGGCAUUUGGCAUGCAGAAGAAUAUUUCUGAGCUAGUGGUGUUCUGCCAGGAAGAAUGGGGAAAAUUCUAAAACCAAGAAUUGAAAAAAAGAGUUACAGAGUACUCAUUGACAGGGCUCCCAGACUUUUGCAUUGCGACUUUUUUUGAAACUAAAGAAUUAAAAUAAAAGUGAUGUUGCUUUAAAUUUGAAGAAAUGUGUCAUGUUUAAUGAUUUAGAGAUCAGGCUUGCUUAGACAUUAAUUUUAAAAGGCAUUUUGAGCAGGGGUGCCAAAAUCUUUGCACCCCACUGUAAAUUUGGCAGUUACCUGUUUUUCUGCAACCGUGUGAAUUUUCAGAGAGGAAACCAAGAGUUGUCCUUGGAAUGGAAUCUUGACUAAAGAAUAAAAUAAAUAAAUAAAUGAAUAAAUUCAAAUGGAAAUGUGCUGUUAGAUGCCAUUUUUGUAAAAUUUUUAUCUGUCUUUAUUUAAUCUGCAGACUGACUGCAUUACGGACGUAUGUGAAACUUUUUUACUCCUGCAUGAAAGGGCAGUUUUUUAUCUUUCACUUCCUGUUUUAGACUAUAUAAGAAAAGGGCACAGCAUUGAGGUCAGAGCAUUGAAGUUAAAAUUAGAUUCUUUUUUCACUGUUUCAUUUUUUCUCCAUCCUGAUACCCAUAACUUUGGCUUAAAAUACUGUAGGUUUUACAGUAAACCUACAGAAAACCUACAGCAGGAUAUGAUUUCAGUAUUUAGGUAUUUUCUGUGAUGCCAUGAUAAAGAAAAGACUGGAUGGGCAUUAAUAUUGGAUUUGUUUAAAUUAAGGUAAAAACUAUUGUAUAUACAGUACGACAACAAUUCUCUUUUAUGAUUGCUCUGUUAAUCUGUCGACAUUACCCGUGAAAUAAAUAAAUAAAAGUUUGCUGGUUCAUCAUUGA